RNAcentral lists this long non-coding RNA (822 nucleotides) under Apteryx owenii (little spotted kiwi). RNAcentral's name for it is "lncRNA (ENSAOWG00000002460.1)". Lineage: Eukaryota; Metazoa; Chordata; Aves; Apterygiformes; Apterygidae. The record is from RNAcentral.
UUGCGCUUUAAUCAGGUGAGACAGCCGGCGAGACGUGAAUUUUUUCCUUUUCUCUUUACAGGCAGGCAACAGAAGCACAAAUUGUGUGGCUUGCUGAGUUCGCAUAGGAAUGGCCUUGCUAGCGAUGGAGGGAAAAUCCAGAUCUCCCAAGUACCAGACCAGCAUCUCCAUCAAAGAUCAUCCUUCUGCCUGGUUUCUGCUCUGGUUCCUGAAUGAUGCUCAACCCUUCUGUUCCUGAAGCGGAGCCUGUGCUUAGGACAACGCAUACAGCAGCUGAUGGAGAAUGCGCCGGCAUUUUGGAGGUGCUCAGAAAGAUCUCUAUAAGAGCUAAGCCACCGUUGUGCUGCCUCCCCAGCUAGUUCUGCAAACCAGCUUCCUGCCUGUGUGAGCACAGACCCAACAAAGGAAUUGCUUGAAAAUGGAAAUUCUUGCACCACUCCCUUUCCAGCGUGUCUCCUGAUGCUGACUAGUUGCCACCAUGCCCUCCAUCCUGAAGUGCAUCUGAGGGCAUUUCUAACUCAAUAUUGGAGUUCUUUAAAGAAGUACAUUCAUCACAGGACUUGCAUUUAUCUUUGGUGGUUCUCCCUUCCUCCCUGUCCCUCUGGUGAUGACAUCGGCUUCCAUAUUACACGUGUGGGACUGCAACAGCUGAAAGCAGGGCUGGGGGAUUCCUCGUGUGCAUCCAUCAUCUCUAAAUGCCUCUCUGCAUCCUGGUCUGAAUUCAGCAGCAAGUACAAGCAGCCUGGCUCACCGACAGCAGAUAAAGAAGAGCCAGCAUCCAAACUGGAUCCAUUUCUUUGAAGCUUAAAAAAUGGUCCGCUG